GGGAGAGAGAGAGAGAGAGAGAGAGAGAGAAAAUAUCCCAAGCAGGCUCUGCACGGUCAAUAAAGAGCCCAACGUGAGGCUCGAACUCACCAACCAUGAGAGCAUGACCUGAGUCGAAGUCAACAGUCAGACGUUUAACCGACUGAGCCACCCAGACGCCCCUCAAGUCUUUCAAAUGAAGAGGUUUGCACUUGGCUCAAAACACAUGAUUUGUGUGCACUGAGCUUUCUUUUCAGGUGGUUUUUGUACUCCACCCUCUAGCUCUAGUCGUGCAGUGCUAGGCUAGAAAUGACAUGACCAAUGAACUCACUGGGGGAAUCCUGGAACAUGUAAAUGUUCACUCGUUCAGAUGGCAGGGUUUUACAGAAAUACAGGAUACAAUUAUCAUUUAACAACACUCCUCAUCCUCUAUCCAAUCCAUGGCUGCGGGCCUCCAGUGGGAAGUGCACUUUUCAUGGAUGAGAGGGAGCUAACCUACCCCUCAGUGGCCAUUCACUCCUGGCUAUAGAAAAGUGAAAUUCAGUUUGUUUCUAGGAUCCAUCCAUCCAUCCAUCCAUCCACCCAUCCACCCAUCCAGCAAAUACUUACUGAACACCUGCCAAGUGCCAACACUGUUCAAGUGCUUAGAGCACACGACUUGAUUGGUGAUUUACACCCUAUCCCCUGUCUAACAAGAAUAUGAUGCUACUUACAAUAAAAGCACAGAGGACAAUUAAGAUAAAGUCAGAGACAUAUCAGCAGUCAGAGUGGCAAGAGGAGAUCAUUCUAGCAGGAACCUGCAGUGAAACAGUCAUUGUACUUGAGCAUGGACGUAUUUCUGACCUUCUUAGUAGCAAGACAAAACCAAAUAAAGAAACAAAACAAAAGAAAAAUCAAGGUAGUAUAAGGGCACCUGGCUGACUCAGUCAGUAGAGCAUGUGACUCUUGAUCUUGGGAUUGCAAGUUCAAGCCCCUCAUUGGGUGUAGAGAUUACGUAAAAUUCAAAUCUUAAAAAAAAAUCAAGGUGGAGUAUAUCAUUCUGAUAAACUGAAAGAACACAAGAAGGACAUCCUUGAGGUAUAAAGGGCAUAGACUAAGAAAACAAUCAAUUAUUUGAGCAGCGGUUUGGCAGAAAGUAGCAAAGUUGUGCUUGAGGUAUCGUUACUAUAUCGGUUUUAAAGCUAAGAAUAUAGAACCAAAUCACAAUUCAUUGAAUGCAUUUCAAAUAGAGAGCCAAACGUGGUGGUUUCUGGUAUUCCAAAUUGAUGCUGGCAUAAGCUUAGAAAACUAGAGGUGUAGGUGUUCUGUAUCCAUCCCACUGUGUUUUUUUAUCCUUGACUUUCAGAAAUUUGAUUCUAACUUCUGUAAACCUUCAGUCACACAAGCACUUGGCUAAUAUUUAUUAGGAGUAAAGCCUUCUAUUGUUAGAUGGAAAUGUGCUUUUUUUCUUUGACCUGAAGGAUCUGUCUCCAGAGCCUGUCUAACCAAGGGGUGACUUUUGAAGUGAUGCCCUCAGCACUGCAGACAGCAUCACUCCAGAGUCAUAAAUCGGUACUGUUCAUAGGGCAUCACCCCAGGAUGGGUCACAUCAAGAUUUAACAGAAGUGGAGGAAGAUGUUUUCUCUUUGGUCUCCAGUGUCCUCCUAGUGUCCUGCCUAGCCUGGUGGCUUGGACUUUCCACGUAACAGGUUUGAGCCAUGGUUGCUUCAUGGUUGUUUCCUAGGACUCAUUCAGGAUUUUCAAUGGGGGCAGUAACACCCUUACAUCUUUAGAAAUUUGUGGGGUGCUUCUGGUUGGCAGAGUGACAAAGAACUGUCUCGCACUCCCAUGCAAAUGUUGACUAUCUUACCAGACCAUGUAAUUGGGGAAAAAAUUACAAUUAUCUGAUAAAAUUUAACUCUUUUAUAAACACAGAGUAUAUCUUCAAGGUUUUUAAUAUGUUCUAAUUUUCCAGAUUGCAAAUUACAAUAUAUUUCAUAUAAUGAGUAAGCAUUGAAUUUCAUAGUUUUAAAAACCACUGAAUUAGAAGAUCCAACAAUUUCUAAGGUCACUUACAAAUUAAAUUGUAUAAUUCUCUUGUUCAUGUUGCAACACAUUAUUGGGUUUGUAGGAGAAUGGGGUAAGGGAAAUACAGAAUUGGUUGGUGGUGGUCGUCGUUUUGUGUUUUGGUCUGGGAACUUUAGUUUGUGAAUUUGCACAUGUAAUUUCAGGUCUGAUUUCCAGGUUAUAAUUGAGAGCUCAGAGUUCUUCUUUCAAGAUGCAAAUUAUUUGAAUUAUUUCAGCUGCAUUUUUUUCCCAUCCUCUUGAAGAGAAGUUCUGGGGCUCUUUCUGCACUGGGAUUUGAAUUCUUAGUUUUGUAUCUACUGCUAACUUGAAGAUUCUACUCUGUGACCCAUUUUGCAAAUCACUCCACAAUGAUUCACUAAAACUGUUCUCAGCUCGUGCUCUAUUUCUGCAAGACAAAGUGCCCCCAGGACCAUGGUAACAAUUCAUUUUUAAUUUUUAAAGUUGCUUGUGGUUGUUUUUUAGCGAACUUCCCAGUCAGUAAGCAGCACAGGCCCAUGGUAAACACCAAGAAAGCCAGAGAGAAUCUUAACCACCUCCUGGCGUUAGCAGGGGGAGGUACACCUUUACAGAUUCUAGUCCCCUGUAGUAGAAACCAUGCUGGAAUAUGUUUCAUAGUCUUUGAAACACGGAUAAAACAAACCUACUUCUCUUGCGGAUGUUUUGAUUGAUGCGAUGUUUUGGAGUAGAACACAGAGGUAGUAAAAGAAUUACAUGAAAUCUAUCAAAAUCAGUUUGCAUGCUCCUUGCACUGUGCUACGUGUUACUGUCUAGGAUGACAGAGUAAGAGAGGAGAGUAACAUCUGUAACCCUCACAAGGUGUCUUCGUGGCAAAGUGGAGACCCACCGAGCCUGGGGGACGAGGAGGAGCUGGUCUGAGGCAUGGAGAGGGCAUCUCUCAGGCGGGAACAGUGUAUUUACCAACCCUGAGGCGGGAAUGUGACAUUCUUCCUCCAGCACGGGAGUCCAGCUUCUCCACAGCCUAUAAACAAAUUCCGAAGCACGAACAUGGCCUUCCUGACAUCCUGGGGUAUUCCUACUUCUGCAUCCUCACUCCCACGAAGUGCUCCACUGCUCCCAUAGUGGACUCCUUCGAGACUAUUCCCUCGAGCCCAUUGGGCCCUUUUCCUUUUCUGUGCAUUGAUUGGUGCCUACUCUUCCCUGCGUCGACCAAAAUCUAAAUUACUCAGAGACAAUGGGGGAACAGUCAGGAAAGCAGGCUUGGAGCCUGACUAUGUGGGCGAGUAGCUCAGCUCUGCCUCUCACUAACUGCUGAGAUGCUGGACAAGUUACCUAAACCCACUGGGAUUUAACUUCCUUGUCUAUACAGAGAACGACCGUGCCUACUUCAUAGAGUAGUUGUGAGGAUUAACUGUGUUGCUACCUAUCGAGCACUUAGAUCACAGUGGCAAGCACAUAAUAAGCAGUUGAUAAAUGUUCGCUGUAAUUACUAGCGGUAGUGACAGUAUCACCAUCAUCAUUUUUAAUCUUUCAUGGUCCGGCUUAAUUGCUACCCAAUUUUCCUUAUUUGCAGUCGAAGGUAAUCACUCCUUCUUCAUUAUAACACCUUUCCACUUCGUAUAUUUCUCUAUUGGGACACUGACUUCAUGCUGGCUUGUAGUCAAGAAUCCUUUCUAGUGGUGACAUUGAGUUUUAGUGAUCCCUCACCACCCAGCAAGUAGUAUUUGGCAUGUGUUGAGAAACCCAGUAAAUAUUGUGUCACGCGGGUUUGCUUGCAAAGCAGGAAGCACAAAUUCAAGUCGAGUAGGAAGUAAGGAGAGUCAGGUGGGCAAGCACCCAAUUCUGAAAGCUUCAGCCUUCAGAAAUGUGAAAAGCACAGGAGAAUCGGAGUCAUUUCAGAAUUUGAGAAGCAUAUUAACAAGCGUUUUUAACGAUCUCAUGCAGAAAUUCACAGCCCCACAGCCGGAGAGAUGUAAUCUCCCAGAUCCAUUUUUCUGAGAUGCUCCUUUUUCAAUCACUCUCUCACCCACCUGACAGAUUCUUAAAUUGUAUUUAUUUUGUCCCAAGCAAAGAAGCCAGGCUCCAUUUUCAUCCAUGGGAUGCCCCAACCUCCUUUCUCCACUGCACGUUUGUAAUUUUGCAACCAUGACUGCCUUGGCUUUACAGCACUCCCCCACCUGUCCGUUUGUAUGUAACAAUUAAAACAUAAAACCAAUACCGCAGCACCAUCUUGAAGGAAAAAUCUCCCACAGCCGCUUAGAGAAGCACUCUACCAAACUGUACCAUCCCCGCGUCAGUGGGGAUACAGGGCGAUCUGAGAUCAAGCCCAAUUCCAGGGCAUAGCCACGUGCUCUCGGGCCAGUUGUUCAAUCUCUGCCACACCCCCCUUCCUUCUCUGCCUCCUCUGUGACCUCCUCUGUGACCCUGCUUCACAGGGUGGAUUUGGGGAUGAAAUAAAUCACCCAGGUGGAGACCUAGAGCAAUGGCUGGAACGAAGCAAGCAACGCUCAAACAUUCCUCCCUGCAAUCCGUCCCCCACGUAGGGAGCCCCCAAAGUAGGAGAAGAAGCCGUUUCUCAGGGACUGAUAGGGACAGAGGCAGCGGGGUCCCCUCCUAAACGCAGCAUGGUACUUCAAUCCGUGUAUUUCCAUUUUGUCUGUAUCCAGUCAGGCUGCAUCCUGGUGCAACUCUGGCCUCCAGACAAACACAGCUGGGUUAUGGUGUUUGGGGGCAUGGGUUCAACGACAUGGAUUUCCAGGCCUUCUGUGUGCCAAGCAUAUGCCAGGUAUUAAGGAUGUACAAUAAGGAAGACCCAAGUCCUGCAUUCAAGAAGUUCACAUUCCAAGCAUUCCAUUGCUUAUUUGCAAGCAAAUAAAUUAUAACACGGUGGGUUGAGUGUAAAGACGCCAGAAUCUAUCAACAGUAGCCAAGUUACGGAGAGAGUCCAAAUGUCCAUUGAUGGAUGAAUGAAUAAAGAAGAUGUGGUGUAUAUUUACAAUGGAAUAUUACUCAGCGAUCAAAAAGAAUGAAAUCUUGCCAUUUGCAACAACACGGAUGGAACUAGCGGGUAUGAUGCUAAGCGAAAUAGAGAAAGAGAAAUAUCAUACGAUUCCACUCAUAUGUGCAAUUUAAGAAACAAAACAGAUGAACAUAGGGGAAGGGAAGGAAAAAUAAGAUAAAAACAGACAGGGAGGCAAACUAUAAGAGACUCUUUUUUUUGAAAGAGAGAGAGAAUGGGGAAGGGGCAGAGAGAGAAGGGGACAGAGGAUCUGCAAAUGGGCUCUGCGCUGACAGCAACUAGCCCAGUGUGGGGUUUGAACUCACAAACCAUGAGAUCAUGGCCUGAGCUGCAGUCGGACGCUUAACUGACUGAGCCACCCAGGUGCCCCAUGAGAGAGGCUCUUAAAUACAGAGAACAAACUGAGAGGUGCUGGAGGGGUGCUGGGUGGGGAGCACGGGCUAAAUGGUGAUGAGCACUGUGCAUUGUAUAUAAACGAUGAAUCACUAAAUUCUACUCCUAAAGCCAUUAUUACACUACAUGUUAACUAACUUGGCUUUAAAUAAAAUUUUAAAAAUCAAAUAAAAAAAUGGAAUUCUGGAAAUGGUCCUUGAGUUGAAAAAUAAUAAUAAAGUGCAAGAAGCUACAGAGAAGGAGAAUGCUCGGAGGAAGGUGGGAUUCUCCUUAUGGAGGAAGCAGAGAUGGCUGGGGGAGGGGGGACAACCCUGUGGGCCAAACAUGUGGGGACAACCUUGCCGCGGGGACAAAACAGUCAAUGGUGUGUUGAAAUGCUGCCCGCUUUCCUUCCUCGGCCUCACAGCAAAGCUGGCCUGGCUUUUAGACCUGACAAGGGGGAAGCACGAGAAUCACGGAACUGAGGCAAAAGAACGAGGAGGACAGGAAAGGAGACGUUCUUUGCUUGCCGGCAGGUGUCCCGGUUCUUUCACCCGAUCCCGUGUCAUCUCUGAGCAGCUGGUCAUCAGAUCCUAGGCAGGAAAGCUCCCCCGCCCGACCGUGAUGCAGGGGACGGGGACAGUGGAAAUGCGGCCAACCGCAGGGGCGUGCGUGCGCGUGGCCGGACGGUCGGCGCUGCCGGCGUGUUCGAGGGCAACUACAGAAUGUUCUCAAAGCCCGAAAGCCACAGCCGCGCAACGGCGGGUCGUUUCGGGGGGCCUCAGCCUCCGCCGCUCUGCUUCUACCACAGCUGUUUCCUGGAAGGGCCGCAGUCUGAGAACAUGACCCCAGCACUCUGCCUGUGUCAUUAAUUCAGGAAAAGUUACAAUCACCAUACUCUCUACCCACCUCACUCUCAGCACAACCUCCCCACAUGGCUGGAUGUGGAUACUCACCUACCUUGGCAUCUGCUUCAAGAGAGGAGACAGGGGGGCCUGUUCUGGAGAGAAGGAAGUCAACUUUUCUUCACUUUGGAACAACUGACGCAUUUCUCUUUCCUUCCUGUCGGGCCAGUGCUGAAGCGGGGCAGCCUCUGCGCCCGCCCAGACAGCUUCUGUGGUUGCCCCCACAUCGCCAAGGACCUCAGGAGCGAGGCCACCCAAAGCCACACCCAGGGGCUCUUGUAGGCCAACAGUCCACGGUCUUCAGCUGGAGGACAGACAAAGCUGACGUUCCUGAAACUUUCACCCCUACCAGGGAAACCCCAAGACAGACUAGAAGCUUCAAAUAUUCAAACGUUUUCACAUUUGCAAGGGGUUUCACAUUGACCUCAAGUGUAAAUGACUGAUCACAUUGUGAAGAAUGGUUACAAACGCAAGAAUAACAAGACUGGCAUAAGCUUCGGAGGGGGGAGGGUGCACCGCGGGGCUGGGGGGGGGGGAUUUCACUGAGGUAUCCCAUACAAAUAGAAUACGAUAAAAUCACAAGCAGGGGGAACACACCCCUAUCAAGAAACUACAACGGCACCCCGGAAGCCCCUUUGUCUGCCCUUCCAGUUACUACCUUCUCCCCAAAGAUAACUAUUUUCCUGAUCUCUAACACCACUGAGUCGCUUUCCUGUUUUUGCACUUUGUGUCAAUGAACGUAUAUAAUAUG
Long non-coding RNA from Neofelis nebulosa (Clouded leopard), 7051 nucleotides. RefSeq lists it as uncharacterized. The record is from RefSeq and is a predicted model, not a curated record. NCBI's taxonomy places the organism in Eukaryota, Metazoa, Chordata, Mammalia, Carnivora, Felidae. The transcript has 2 exons.